Long non-coding RNA from Oxyura jamaicensis (ruddy duck), 764 nucleotides. RefSeq lists it as uncharacterized. Lineage: Eukaryota; Metazoa; Chordata; Aves; Anseriformes; Anatidae. The transcript is spliced from 4 exons. The record is from RefSeq and is a predicted model, not a curated record.
AGAAAAUAGAAGGAGAGUUGCAGGAACAAGCAGAAAUAGGAUUGGAAAACUUCAGCCUAUGGAAAACAGAACAGAAAGAGCAGAAGGGGAGCUGUGAAAUUCAGAAAUCCCAAGGUUACCACCAUAUAAUUACAGAAGUUAAAGGUGAUCAGGUGCCCAGCAUAAGAGCAAAAAAAAAAAAGGCAAAAUCUCCAGUCAAGAAGAAGUUCUUUCUGAUCAAAAAUCAACUCACCGUGAUUCUGUCUUGAGGGCUGUGAUUCAAGGCCUUGUUAACCAGCUGUAGAUUAGAGUGGUAGUAGCUUCAACUGGACUACAUGACUAUGUUCACCCUGAAGAAGGUGAGUUAAAAAAGACACUUUAAGACUGUAUGGGGAUUUUAUCAUUUGAUGGCUUUAAAAAAUUUUCCAUGCAUUUGUGCUAUAUUUUUAAUAGAGAAUGACAGAAUAUUUAGUUGUUUCAUAAAUACAGAAUACCUCAUGUCUGAGCAUGUCAUUGCAACAAAAACACUGGAAAUAUUGUUUAUGAAAAAUUGUACUGAGCCUCAAAUAAAAUAUUAACUGGUAAGUGUAAAAAAAAUUAGCAUCUAAUGCUAGCUACCAAUCACUUUAAAAAUGUUAGCAAAUUAAUCUUAACGUGAAAGCUGAUGUACGUAUCUAUCUCAUACUGAUUAAAAAUAUUCAGAGGAAUUUAGGAAAUUAGAGUAAAAAUUUCCUUUGAAAAAACAACAAACUUUUAUGUGAAUUUCACAGAUAAUCCUAUUCUUU